GGGAAUGUGGCUCAGUGACAGCGUGCCUGCCUAGCCAGCACAAGGCCCUAAGUUCAAAUCUCAGCAUUACCA
RNAcentral lists this transfer RNA (72 nucleotides) under Dipodomys ordii (Ord's kangaroo rat). It matches the Rfam family "tRNA". Rfam says of the family: Transfer RNA (tRNA) molecules are approximately 80 nucleotides in length. Their secondary structure includes four short double-helical elements and three loops (D, anti-codon, and T loops). The record is from Rfam by way of RNAcentral. Lineage: Eukaryota; Metazoa; Chordata; Mammalia; Rodentia; Heteromyidae.